AAUAGCCGCAUAGCCCCAAGGGUCUUUUCACCACCAAAGUUACAUUUUGAGUCUGUUCAUAUGCAAGGCAUGGCUUCAUCUAUCGCUUGGAUCGCAGUCUUUUCAAUUGCCCUGUUUGCAUGCAUCACGGAAGCAAGGAAGAAUCCUACCGAUUUUUUGCAAUCUGCUGUCAUUAAUGAGCAUACUGAGGACAAUCACCAUGCAGAGUCGACCCUUUCCAAUCAGAAGAAGACAACUAAUGGUAAUACAUUGAAGGAUUUUGAGUAUCAUGGCACUGACGCUAAGUCUAAGGAGGGGAAACUUCUUAUAAAGACUUUGAGUCGAAGCCUGGCUCCAUUUUGUUCCUUUAUCAUGGCAACGACGCUAAGUCUAAAGAGGAGAAGCCUCUUAUGAAAGACUUUGAGUCAAAGCCUGGCUCCAUUUUGUUCCUUUAUCAUGGCAACGACGCUAAGUCUAAAGAGGAGAAGCCUCUUAUGAAAGACUUUGAGUCAAAGCCUGGCUCCAUUUUGUUACUUUAUCAUGGCAACGACGCUAAGUCUAAAGAGGAGAAGCCUCUUAUCAAAGACUUUGAGUCAAAGCCUGAUCCAUCUAAAGACGUUAAGUCUGAGGAGGAGAAACCACUCGUGAAAGAUAAUUAAUGUCCAGGGAAGCCGCAACUUUACCUCUGAAUGGACUACGGACAUACAUCUCUUCUAGCUGGUCUGUUUUUCUCCAUUUCUUUAUUGGCGUGAAAAUGUGUGAUAUGUAAUAAAUGCAGUUCUUCUUUCAACCAAGCGUUCCGUAUAAUUAAUUAAAUGAAAGUCAGUAGCGUUGAGUGCAUUUUCUA
Non-coding RNA from Coffea arabica (coffee), 826 nucleotides. Lineage: Eukaryota; Viridiplantae; Streptophyta; Magnoliopsida; Gentianales; Rubiaceae. The record is from RefSeq and is a predicted model, not a curated record.